UUUUUAUUAGACUUCCUAAUUUAGAUUGGCAAUCGUACAUAAAAAUUACACAAUACAAAAUAAACAUUGCAACAUGGUGUGUAAAUAUUGUACACAGUGCAAGGUAGUGUCUCUGAAAUAUGAAAAUGAAAUAGCAAUACCAAAAAAAGAUGAAAAUUUUAAAUGGGGCAAAAUGGUCAAAUGAAGCCAUUAAAGAGAACAAAAAGAAUUUAUAAAAGAAGGAAAAAAAACUGAAAACACGUUCAUAAUUGGGAAAAACAUUAUUAAAAAAAAAAGAAAUUGGAAAAACCGCGUAGCGUAGCUAUGACGCGGCAAAGUACUAUAAAAGACCGACGACCGACGACAUUUGGCUCUCUCUCUCUUUCUCGCAAUACCCACGACCAUUGCUCUCUCUCUCUCUCUCUCUCUCUCUCCCCUUUUCAAAUUUGAAUCGUCUCUCUCUUUGACGCUCUACGUCAAAUAUCGUCGAUCAACCGGUAGCCGGAUCAAAUGGCCGACGCCGACGAGCUUGACGAAAUCGUCCGCCGAAAGCUGGGGGCUUUGAUCUCAAGAGUUACCCAGGAAAUCGAAUUCCGUUGGGGCGACGAGUGCCUUCCACUGCCGAGAAUACUUCUUCAUGUUCUGGAUCCAGUGGAGGCCCUCAUUUCUUUUGAAUUGCAGAGAAUAAAAAACUCUCCGACUUGGGAAGCCGCGGAAAGAAAGCGGAAAAUCAGAAAUUUGAUGGCCAUGCGUUGAAUUUUGUUUCUUUUGUUUCUGACAUUUUUUCUUAAUUAGGGUUUUUUUUUUGGCAGGGCCCGAUGGACUUGGUUUCGACUGCUCUGCAGCUCAAAACGAGAUUGGAUACUCACUGGAAAGGGGUUUGUUAUAUGAGACUACUGGCCCUAGGUGAUGAUUGGGAAAAAAAUUUCAAGGUAUGGACUACGAUAAUACAUUAUUUUGAGUGAAGUGCAUGACUCUACAAGUAUUUUUCCAAUUUCAUGUUUCAUGUAAUUUCUGUGUAUAACCUUUUCCGAGCAGAGUGUAUGAGCAUUGCAGGUUUAGUUGUUAAAAUUCUUUGGUGUAUUAGGAAAAUUUGACUACUCAAUUUAGCUUUUAUAUUUAACUAUUCAAUUUGGAGUGUUUAAGUUAAUUACACUGCAAUUGACUGUUAGUGCUAGUUAAGAAGCUUCGAAUGCUACUUCCAAAUCCUAUUGUGUAACUUACUUAUAAUACUUGUUGGAGAAAUAAUAAUUAGGUGUCUUAGCUGAUCCUAAAAUGCUGGAAUGCUUUUGGCAUUUGAAUUACAGCAGUGGUGCUUGCUUUAUUGUUUGUUAUUUUUGUCAAGGAAUUAUUAUUAUUUUUUUGUUUUUCCAUAGUUAAAUGCAGGCUAUGGCUAAAGUAAUAUGUAACUGAUUUUGGAGAUAACGAAAUAUGAAAGUUCAAUAAUGUAGCCCAGCUUAGGGAAAUCUUUGUUGUUGUUGAGGCGUGAAGUACGAGUAUGUAUGUUUGCCUUUUUCCCCUGAAUGAAAUUCAACAUAAAUAUCAGAUCUUUAGCAUUCUUCAGUAUCUUUAAAAACAAUAGCGCACAAUCAAGGCUCGGUCAUUUCAACACCUCCAUCUUUACUUGGUCCUUUCGACUAAAGAUGAAUUGCAGAUCCAGUUCAAAGAAGUUUGCAUUGAAUUUCUUUUCCUUUUCCCUAUAUUCAUUUGUGUACAAAUUGGUUGCAUCAACUUGAUACAUUUCUUUAAUUUUACCAUAGUUGUUUUAUCAAUAAAUCUCUUGUUUCUAUAGGCAAAGUUUGAUAUUUCUUUGUUCAAUCUCUGAUAUGUAUGGAGAGUUUCAUUGAUAGCAGUUGUUCUUUUGCGGACAUCUUACAAUAAUCUUUUGUGAUCAAUGCAGUUUGCAGCUUCCCUCUAUUGUCUCAAGUUGGUUUUGUCACACUGUGGUGAUAGGUGUAUGUAAGGGAAUGCCAAUUUCACCAUGCUAGAGUUAAUCAAUCUCAUAUUAAUUUGAACUUUGGAACUUUAUAUUGAUCUUGUUGGAAAUAUUUUGCAGCACUGGUGUUAGCUUUCAUGCUGUAUUCCAUAUACGAGCAGUAUGAAUCAGAAGUUGCGAAGCUUCUGUUCAAUAGUAUAAUGCUGGUUUUUGGAUUUUUUUUAGAACAAAUCUACCUGCUUCUGUGCAACUAUUUCUUGAAAAACAUGGAAUUUUGAUGCGUCACAUGUGACAAUUAGCAUCAGAAGUAGCUGCCACUACAACUUGGAUGGCAUUUGGGCUUAGUUUUUCUAACUGGACAAAUUCAAUGUUCUGCUAGUUUAGGGUUGUAUGAAAAUAUAUAUUUCGUGUAAACUCAACAAAAGAAUUACCACAUUACAAACUCUUCUCCUUUUGUUAGCGUUAACCAUAAAGUUUAGGCGGUAUAAAUCAAUGCCUUUUGUCA
Long non-coding RNA from Prunus persica (peach), 2420 nucleotides. RefSeq lists it as uncharacterized. The record is from RefSeq and is a predicted model, not a curated record. The transcript has 2 exons. NCBI's taxonomy places the organism in Eukaryota, Viridiplantae, Streptophyta, Magnoliopsida, Rosales, Rosaceae.